AGAGUUUGAUCCUGGCUCAGAUUGAACGCUGGCGGCAGGCCUAACACAUGCAAGUCGAACGGUAACAGGAAGCAGCUUGCUGCUUUGCUGACGAGUGGCGGACGGGUGAGUAAUGUCUGGGAAACUGCCUGAUGGAGGGGGAUAACUACUGGAAACGGUAGCUAAUACCGCAUAACGUCGCAAGACCAAAGAGGGGGACCUUCGGGCCUCUUGCCAUCGGAUGUGCCCAGAUGGGAUUAGCUAGUAGGUGGGGUAACGGCUCACCUAGGCGACGAUCCCUAGCUGGUCUGAGAGGAUGACCAGCCACACUGGAACUGAGACACGGUCCAGACUCCUACGGGAGGCAGCAGUGGGGAAUAUUGCACAAUGGGCGCAAGCCUGAUGCAGCCAUGCCGCGUGUAUGAAGAAGGCCUUCGGGUUGUAAAGUACUUUCAGCGGGGAGGAAGGGAGUAAAGUUAAUACCUUUGCUCAUUGACGUUACCCGCAGAAGAAGCACCGGCUAACUCCGUGCCAGCAGCCGCGGUAAUACGGAGGGUGCAAGCGUUAAUCGGAAUUACUGGGCGUAAAGCGCACGCAGGCGGUUUGUUAAGUCAGAUGUGAAAUCCCCGGGCUCAACCUGGGAACUGCAUCUGAUACUGGCAAGCUUGAGUCUCGUAGAGGGGGGUAGAAUUCCAGGUGUAGCGGUGAAAUGCGUAGAGAUCUGGAGGAAUACCGGUGGCGAAGGCGGCCCCCUGGACGAAGACUGACGCUCAGGUGCGAAAGCGUGGGGGAGCAAACAGGAUUAGAUACCCUGGUAGUCCACGCCGUAAACGAUGUCGACUUGGAGGUUGUGCCCUUGAGGCGUGGCUUCCGGAGCUAACGCGUUAAGUCGACCGCCUGGGGAGUACGGCCGCAAGGUUAAAACUCAAAUGAAUUGACGGGGGCCCGCACAAGCGGUGGAGCAUGUGGUUUAAUUCGAUGCAACGCGAAGAACCUUACCUGGUCUUGACAUCCACAGAACUUUCCAGAGAUGGAUUGGUGCCUUCGGGAACUGUGAGACAGGUGCUGCAUGGCUGUCGUCAGCUCGUGUUGUGAAAUGUUGGGUUAAGUCCCGCAACGAGCGCAACCCUUAUCCUUUGUUGCCAGCGGUCCGGCCGGGAACUCAAAGGAGACUGCCAGUGAUAAACUGGAGGAAGGUGGGGAUGACGUCAAGUCAUCAUGGCCCUUACGACCAGGGCUACACACGUGCUACAAUGGCGCAUACAAAGAGAAGCGACCUCGCGAGAGCAAGCGGACCUCAUAAAGUGCGUCGUAGUCCGGAUUGGAGUCUGCAACUCGACUCCAUGAAGUCGGAAUCGCUAGUAAUCGUGGAUCAGAAUGCCACGGUGAAUACGUUCCCGGGCCUUGUACACACCGCCCGUCACACCAUGGGAGUGGGUUGCAAAAGAAGUAGGUAGCUUAACCUUCGGGAGGGCGCUUACCACUUUGUGAUUCAUGACUGGGGUGAAGUCGUAACAAGGUAGCCGUAG
RNAcentral lists this ribosomal RNA (1508 nucleotides) under Escherichia coli. Its description in RNAcentral is "16S ribosomal RNA". It matches the Rfam family "Bacterial small subunit ribosomal RNA". Lineage: Bacteria; Pseudomonadati; Pseudomonadota; Gammaproteobacteria; Enterobacterales; Enterobacteriaceae. The record is from RNAcentral.